GACCAGACUCCUACGGGAGGCAGCAGUGGGGAAUAUUGCACAAUGGGGGGAACCCUGAUGCAGCGACGCCGCGUGGGCGAGGAAGUAUUUCGGUAUGUAAAGCUCUAUCAGCAGGGAAUAGAAAAGAAGGUACCUGAAAAAGAAGCCCCGGCUAACUACGUGCCAGCAGCCGCGGUAAUACGUAGGUGGCAAGCGUUAUCCGGAUUUACUGGGUGUAACGGGCGUGUAGGCGGGGACGCAAGUCAGAUGUGAAAACCACGGGCUCAACCUGUGGCCUGCAUUUGAAACUGUGUUUCUUGAGUACUGGAGAGGCAGACGGAAUUCCUAGUGUAGCGGUGAAAUGCGUAGAUAUUAGGAGGAACACCAGUGGCGAAGGCGGUCUGCUGGACAGCAACUGACGCUGAGGCGCGAAAGCGUGGGGAGCAAACAGGAUUAGAUACCCGUGUAAG
RNAcentral lists this ribosomal RNA (449 nucleotides) under uncultured bacterium. RNAcentral describes it as "partial 16S ribosomal RNA". It matches the Rfam family "Bacterial small subunit ribosomal RNA", at positions 329 to 793 of the family's 1533-position model. The record is from RNAcentral.